CCUCGCGCGAUUAGAGCGGCCGAUAUCUGAUUAGCUUGUUGGUGGGGUAAAAGCCCACCAAGGCGGCGAUCAGUAGCUGGUCUGAGAGGACGAUCAGCCACACUGGGACUGAGACACGGCCCAGACUCCUACGGGAGGCAGCAGUGGGGAAUUUUGGACAAUGGGCGAAAGCCUGAUCCAGCCAUGCCGCGUGAGUGAAGAAGGCCUUCGGGUUGUAAAGCUCUUUCGGCUGGGAAGAAAUCGCACAGGCUAAUACUCUGUGUGGAUGACGGUACCAGCACAAGAAGCACCGGCUAACUACGUG
RNAcentral lists this ribosomal RNA (304 nucleotides) under uncultured bacterium. Its description in RNAcentral is "bacterial SSU rRNA". It matches the Rfam family "Bacterial small subunit ribosomal RNA", at positions 211 to 507 of the family's 1533-position model. The record is from RNAcentral.